This 139-nucleotide ribosomal RNA is filed under the name uncultured bacterium. Its description in RNAcentral is "partial 16S ribosomal RNA". It matches the Rfam family "Bacterial small subunit ribosomal RNA", at positions 355 to 509 of the family's 1533-position model. The record is from RNAcentral.
UGGGGAAUAUUGGGCAAUGGGGGGAACCCUGACCCAGCAACGCCGCGUGAGGGAAGAAGGUUUUCGGAUCGUAAACCUCUGUCCUUGGUGAAGAGGAGAAGACGGUAGCCAAGGAGGAAGCCCCGGCUAACUACGUGCC